AGGGGCACAGAACCUUCCUCUUCCCGCUUUGGAAACCGCUAUUUUCUUGGUGAUGAUGGUCUAGUUUGGGCAAAAAAACGUGCAGGCCACUCAAGCUCUCACCAAAAAUGCUGAAAUAAAAAGAUCCAUUAGCGAUCGAUUGCAAGGGGGGCAGCAUACAGCCAGCAAGUGCCCACAACUAAUUCCAAGCCUCCGCUGCCACCUCGACGCCUUCUCGUCGGGAUCCGGCAUCAAUUCGAGUGCCAUCUAGCAUUGACCGACGACUUUAUUGAGCCCGCUGUGAGCCAAUACAAAAGGUCCCAAGGGAUCGGAGCAACAUCUGGGUGGGGGUGGGGAAGCUUGAGCCCCCUACGUCGAUGUUGCUUAUGGAGCCUCUACAAUAAUUUUCCACCAUGGAUGAAGAAGGUGGAGGAGGAGAAAGAAGAAAACGAGUGGAGGAAGGGAGAACAGAAUAGCCAAUGGACAAUCUUUAUGCACCACUACUUGCAUAAGCAUUUAAUUUUGUUCUUAAUCUACUAAUUGUUAUCAUAUCAUCUUUUUUAAAACCUCUCUAAAUCUAACAUUAUUCGUGUAUUGGUGUUGACAUACCUAUAGUCUGUUCAUUCUAUCUACUUUUGUAGAUGAAAAUGGUUAAGGUGCUAGUUAUCGCCACCACUAUUCUGAUUACGAUGCAGUUCAUCACCACGGUAAGUAGCUCCAGCUCCUACUGGGCUUUCUACUGCUCCUCCCUGGGUAACUUCACCAUGAUAUCCCGUACGAUAACAACAUGGACAUGCACGGUGUCUGCUAUUCUUCUAGGAGGGCGUCCUUCUCCCUUCUGCUAUUUAAUAACAUCCUGUUGUUGUUUCCCGUGGUGAGACAAUGAUGGUGUAUGCGGUCGGGCAGUGCCAGUGCAACUUUAGAAGGUCUGCCUACGAGAGCUGCAUCAAAGUAUGCUUGGAGGAAGCCCACCGGUACUGUGGUUUUAGAGAAGGCGCUUUCAUCUUCCAUGAUCUGUGCACCGUUGCCUAGAGAGAGGCUGAGUCUGUUCCCUAGUCCACCAAAUAGAUUCAGUAUACUUUCAUUUA
Long non-coding RNA from Panicum virgatum (switchgrass), 1067 nucleotides. RefSeq lists it as uncharacterized. Lineage: Eukaryota; Viridiplantae; Streptophyta; Magnoliopsida; Poales; Poaceae. The transcript is spliced from 2 exons. The record is from RefSeq and is a predicted model, not a curated record.